RNAcentral lists this ribosomal RNA (497 nucleotides) under uncultured bacterium. RNAcentral describes it as "partial 16S ribosomal RNA". It matches the Rfam family "Bacterial small subunit ribosomal RNA", at positions 28 to 507 of the family's 1533-position model. The record is from RNAcentral.
GAUGAACGCUGGCGGCGUGCCUAAUACAUGCAGGUCGAGCGAACGGACGAGAAGCUUGCUUCUCUGAUGUUAGCGGCGGACGGGUGAGUAACACGUGAAUAACCUACCUAUAAGACUGGGAUAACUUCGGGAAACCGGAGCUAAUACCGGAUAAUAUUUUGAACCGCAUGGUUCAAAAGUGAAAGACGGUCUUGCUGUCACUUAUAGAUGGAUCCGCGCUGCAUUAGCUAGUUGGUAAGGUAACGGCUUACCAAGGCAACGAUGCAUGGCCGACCUGAGAGGGUGAUCGGCCACACUGGAACUGAGACACGGUCCAGACUCCUACGGGAGGCAGCAGUAGGGAAUCUUCCGCAAUGGGCGAAAGCCUGACGGAGCAACGCCGCGUGAGUGAUGAAGGUCUUCGGAUCGUAAAACUCUGUUAUUAGGGAAGAACAUAUGUGUAAGUAACUGUGCACAUCUUGACGGUACCUAAUCAGAAAGCCACGGCUAACUACGUG